RNAcentral lists this long non-coding RNA (164 nucleotides) under Ictidomys tridecemlineatus (thirteen-lined ground squirrel). RNAcentral's name for it is "lncRNA (ENSSTOG00000031417.1)". The record is from RNAcentral. Lineage: Eukaryota; Metazoa; Chordata; Mammalia; Rodentia; Sciuridae.
UGAGGAGAAAACAUCUGUACAUCAUUCUGCACAAUCUCAGUGUUGGCAGUGCUACCGGGUAUGGACUCCGACACAACCUGAGCUGGGUGUGUGGAGCAAAAGUAGAACACUGUGUCAGAGGGAUCAGCCCAAUUCAUGUGCGUCAGAGAAGUUCAGCAAGCUUU